CGCCGUAAGGAUUACUCGGGAUAAGAUUUCGGAAAACCCCCCGCUGUUUCCGGCCUCGUCGUAGGCCAGAUCGAGGCUUGAAUUCGUCGUGUCAUCGUCUUGAGCAAUUGUAAUUUUUUAUAAGUCGUGAUCCAGCUUAAAGUUUAUUUGAUUUCGUUUAUUGUCUUCAUUUUAUGAAUUUAUCGUCGUCAUCGCUCCGGUUGGUUAUGUUACUGAGACAUCUGCGUGGUGAAGGUCCCCCGUCCCGACUUUUCCUGUCUUUUCCGACCAUUUUCCUCUUAGCAUCCCCCUUUACCUCAGUUUAGGUAGCUGGACUAUCGUCACCGGAAGUAUUGUUUGGUUCCACCAUAGUAUACUUUCUUGCAGUCUUUGCAUUCAAUUUUGUAUACCAGGCCUGAUUGUAGUCCUUUCUCAAUUUUAUCUUUUAGCGACAACUUCUCAACUGUUCCCAUAACCCUUGGAUGUAAGGGAAAGGGACAUAGGAAAUUUCAGAAUCAUUUUCAUUUUUUCAUUCAUCAUCUUCAUUUUUACUAUUCUUAAGUAAAUCCGUUUUUAAAAAUGAAGAUUAACAAUUUUUAUUUUUUGACACCCCUAUUUUUCGUCGCAACAGCAAAAAGUUGCGUUGAUUAUUAAAACGGUCGUGCAAUGUGUAGAGGUGUUUCAUUUUUCAGCGCAACAGUUUGAAAUUAGUUCCUAAAUUCCAAUAAGAUUGUCCCAGGAAAGAGCCAUGAUUCUUUCAUUGUUUCAUGUCCACUUGAUUGAUGAGAAGGUGCGUUGGUGAAGUCGUUUUACGGUGGAAAUUACCUUGAAGACUACUUGAAAAUUGUUCCACGAACAGCAUCCUCAACGUCCGAUACCGAGUCUGUCACAAUAUCAUCCAGUGAUUUUGAGUUUUCAAGAAACAGGAAACGUUAAGCAUGCUCAUCGAGGUUGUAUGUAUCACCGGAGCGAUAACAUUAAUGAAUGUCUUAAUGAAUUAACGAAAUGUCGUAUAUAAAUACAAAUUUUAUUUUUUAAUUUUUUAUUGCUGUUUUCAAUGUAUAAAUAAAGUUGCAAAGUACUACCUACUGCAAAACAAUAUGCACCGUCUGAUAAUAAA
This is a long non-coding RNA of Cimex lectularius (bed bug), 1099 nucleotides long. RefSeq lists it as uncharacterized. The transcript is spliced from 5 exons. The record is from RefSeq and is a predicted model, not a curated record. NCBI's taxonomy places the organism in Eukaryota, Metazoa, Arthropoda, Insecta, Hemiptera, Cimicidae.